Molecule: ribosomal RNA, 450 nt
Filed under: uncultured bacterium
Lineage: Bacteria
Description: partial 16S ribosomal RNA
Rfam family: Bacterial small subunit ribosomal RNA
Source: RNAcentral
GUGGGGAAUAUUGGACAAUGGGCGAAAGCCUGAUCCAGCCAUGCCGCGUGUGUGAAGAAGGUCUUCGGAUUGUAAAGCACUUUAAGUUGGGAGGAAGGGCAGUAAGUUAAUACCUUGCUGUUUUGACGUUACCGACAGAAUAAGCACCGGCUAACAUCGUGCCAGCAGCCGCGGUAAUACGAAGGGUGCAAGCGUUAAUCGGAAUUACUGGGCGUAAAGCGCGCGUAGGUGGUUUUGUAAGUUGGAGGUGAAAUCCCCGGGCUCAAACUGGGAACUGCCUCCAAAACUGCAUGACUAGAGUGCGGUAGAGGGUAGUGGAAUUUCCUGUGUAGCGGUGAAAUGCGUAGAUAUAGGAAGGAACACCAGUGGCGAAGGCGACUACCUGGACUGAUACUGACACUGAGGUGCGAAAGCGUGGGGAGCAAACAGGAUUAGAUACCCGUGUAGUCC